This 261-nucleotide ribosomal RNA is filed under the name uncultured bacterium. Its description in RNAcentral is "partial 16S ribosomal RNA". It matches the Rfam family "Bacterial small subunit ribosomal RNA", at positions 1240 to 1500 of the family's 1533-position model. The record is from RNAcentral.
CAGAGGGAAGGCAAUACCGCGAGGUGGAGCAAAUCCCUAAAAGCCAUCCCAGUUCGGAUCGCAGGCUGCAACCCGCCUGCGUGAAGUUGGAAUCGCUAGUAAUCGCGGAUCAGCAUGCCGCGGUGAAUACGUUCCCGGGCCUUGUACACACCGCCCGUCACACCAUGAGAGUCGGGAACACCCGAAGUCCGUAGCCUAACUGCAAAGGGGGCGCGGCCGAAGGUGGGUUCGAUAAUUGGGGUGAAGUCGUAACAAGGUAUC